GCCGAAAUAGCUCAAAUGGGAGAGCAUUAGACUGAAAAUCUAAAGGUUUCUGGUUCGAAUCCAGAUUACGGCA
Non-coding RNA from Anoplophora glabripennis (Asian longhorned beetle), 73 nucleotides. Lineage: Eukaryota; Metazoa; Arthropoda; Insecta; Coleoptera; Cerambycidae. The record is from the annotation of a RefSeq genome assembly.